Molecule: ribosomal RNA, 321 nt
Filed under: uncultured eukaryote
Lineage: Eukaryota
Description: partial 18S ribosomal RNA
Rfam family: Eukaryotic small subunit ribosomal RNA
Source: RNAcentral
CCCUUAGAUGUUCUGGGCCGCACGCGCGCUACACUGAUGAACGCAACGAGACCACCUGUACCGAAAGGCAUGGGUAAACUUGUGAAAGUUCAUCGUGAUGGGGAUAGAUUAUUGCAAUUAUUAAUCUUCAACGAGGAAUUCCUAGUAAGCGCGAGUCAUCAGCUCGCGUUGAUUACGUCCCUGCCCUUUGUACACACCGCCCGUCGCUCCUACCGAUUGAAUGGUCCGGUGAAAUCUUCGGAUUGCUGGAUAGGACUUCAUUGACCUAUCUGCGAGAAGUUGCUUGAACCUUAUCAUUUAGAGGAAGUAAAAGUCGUAACA